Molecule: long non-coding RNA, 282 nt
Filed under: Gossypium barbadense (sea-island cotton)
Lineage: Eukaryota; Viridiplantae; Streptophyta; Magnoliopsida; Malvales; Malvaceae
Description: long non-coding RNA (GBAR_LNC006143)
Source: RNAcentral
AUUCAUUCAACUUUUCUUUAUUCACUCUCCCCCUUUUUAAAGCAUUUUCUCUCUUUCUUUUCACAAGAAGAACAGCUUCUUCAAGUGUGAGUAAUUUGGUUAUAAGCUUGUUCAAACUUAUUUGUAGUGUUCCAAAGAGAAGGAAGAGAAAGAACCGUGUGCACUACCUAGACGUGUGCAUAGGCUAGGCCGGGCCGGGUUCGGGCUCGACCCAACUAAAAAUUUAGGCUCGUUUGCUAGGCCCGGGCCUUGCCCGGCCCGAAAAAUAGGCUUAAAAUUUUG